UACGUAGGGGGCUAGCGUUGUCCGGAAUCAUUGGGCGUAAAGAGCGUGUAGGCGGUCCGGUAAGUCCGCUGUGAAAGUCGGGGGCUCAACCCUCGAAUGCCGGUGGAUACUGUCGGGCUAGAGUGCGGAAGAGGCGAGUGGAAUUCCUGGUGUAGCGGUGAAAUGCGCAGAUAUCAGGAGGAACACCGGUGGCGAAGGCGGGUCUCUGGGCCGAUACUGACGCUGAGGCGCGAAAGCUAGGGGAGCGAACAGG
Molecule: ribosomal RNA, 253 nt
Filed under: uncultured bacterium
Lineage: Bacteria
Description: partial 16S ribosomal RNA
Rfam family: Bacterial small subunit ribosomal RNA
Source: RNAcentral